GUUUAAGCCCAGCUGGUAACUCAGAGCCAGCUACUAAGGAGAAAAAUGACUCCUAGGGCUGAACCUAGGACAAUAGGACACACAGCCAAAGGUAUCAGGCAAAUACCCUUCAUGAUGGUUUGUAUGACAGUACUUUCUAAAAACUAAAGACAAGUAGAUAACUAUAGCCUGCUGCAGCCCAUAGAUGCUCAGUGUUUUCUGAGUUUCCAGAUUAAGCUGUAACAGCUGUUUUUUGCAGCCAUAUGAUAACUGGUUCUUCAAGAGAAUAAAUGGUAGAAAAAUAAUAAUGGAGGGAAUGGAUUCUGCUGGGAGCUUGGAGAAAAAGCUUGGGCUGCAAGUCUGAAAACUUACAAUGAGUUGAGCAUCAAAGGUUGCUUUAGCCCUCAGUCUGUGAGCCAAGAAUCUGGUCUAUCCCUUACCUGACACUUCUGUGUAUGCAGUAGGCUCUGUGGAGUCCAUCUCCUCAGUCACUGCAUCAAGUAUGAUGAGUCUACAUGGUGCCUGUUACAGCUGGUCCUUAAAUGUUUUGUAGUCUAAGCAGUAACAUGCUGUCAGCGUUGUUGCAAGUGUCUGAAGUUCUGUCAGAGAAGUCCAGCUUGUCAGUGAGCGGCUGGUUUCAUGACCCAUCAACAGUCAGACCUGCAUGCUGCGUCAGAGCUCCCUUGUCCAGGAGCCUACACAUAUCCCCUACAAUCAUGGAAUCUUGUACAAGUGGAUCGAUCUAGUUUAUUUGGAUAUGAACUCCCAAGCUCAAAUACAGGAGGAAUUUGAGGAGCGAUCAGAAAUUAUACUAAAAGAUUUUCUUAAGGUGAGCCCAGUGGUUCAGUCUGAUGGGGGCUGCCAGAACAAGUCAGAGGGGUACCAUGUGUCAUGCAGGCUGGGAAAGGACUUGCUCAUAUGGCCAGCAACUAAACCACCUUCUAGUUCCACUCCCUUAAGGGGAAUGGACCAGAUGACCUCCAGCAGUGCCUUCCAACCUCAACCAUGCUGUGAUUCUGUCAUGGAUCCCCUCUGGCUCUCUGUUUGCUGCUGCAUGGGGACUCAUCCAACAUCAAACACUUUGCAGGAAACACAAAUGUUGAAGCAAGAAGCAAAGCAGAAGGAUGGAAACACAUCAUCCUUCCUGCUUCCUAGCCUUGUGUGACCAGAGUGUCCGUCCUUGUCCUGCAGCUUAGUGCUUGGGGAACUUGACCUGUGUGUGAAACAAGUGACCCACAAUGGUUUUGUCUUACUUGAAAGGCUGAUGGACCUCUAGUUUACUGUGCAUCUGUAUCUCUGUGAAAUUGCUUUCUCACCCAGUAGACAAUUAAGUAGCGUUUGAUAUCUCUUGGUCACUGACAUCGAAAAGAGAUGAUGCCCACCUAGACUACAUGCCGCAGUUCAACAGUCCUUAGGACCCUCAAACCACUUGGAGAAAAAUAGUGCCUUAUCUAAGAGUAGACAAUGAUGGCCUCUAGCACAGCAAGAGAGACCUGGGAGCUGAAUGUUAAAGUUUCUGUACUACCUUUCUCAGAAAGAGAAAUACCAACGACUAUGUGAAGCUUUGAAGAGUAAAGACAUCCAGUGGAGUAGUCAGGGGGCCUGCUAAUAAAAGGUGGGGAUGGCAGCUCCCUGCACCUAUUGACCAUGACAAGCAGGAACUGCCAUGAGACUGUGCUGGUUGAUGCUGCCCCCACAGACAUGGUUCUUGAUGGUUCUCCAACAAGGUGAUACAUCUGCUGAUACCUCUACUGUCUUUCAGACUCUAUGAGACAGCAGAGGAAGACAGCUUCCCUGACAUCCUGGAUAAAAUCCUGCAGUUCUUGCCUUCCAAGGCCUUGUUUUUACUGCUUUCCAACUUCACUGGCAUAAAGCUGCACUUCCUGGCUCCCUCUGAUGAAGAUGAAGAUGCUCGGGAAGGAAGUGCCACAGACACCACUGGGAACAGCAGUCCCAAACCUGAGCAGGAAUAGGCUGAAAACCACACUGACAGCAAACCCCAUCAGUCAGACUAGCCUGACAAUAUCCCUGAAGCACAAGACAGUAAGACGCAGAACGGUAAGUGGAGGGGCAUCAGUGUGAAGGGACUUGAGCAGAAUCCUGAUGUUAAGGGUGUCGGCAGCAGAAUUCCCAAUGAUUUCUGUGGAACUAGCAUUUCACCUUGUACUGCAGCCAACACAAGGCACCAGCUUGUCAUACUAGGUAUCUCAAAUCAGUGACCAUCACAAAAGAAUUUGAACUAAAUUAAUGACUAACUUGUCCUGAGCAGUUCAAACAGCCCCUUUUUAUACAUCUUUACUUCCGUGUUCAUGACGUAGUGGAGGUACUCUGCGCAUGCUUCCGCUGUUGCUAGGGGGUCGAUUUCUGCCUCCUGGUGGUAGUCUUCCUCCUGUGUCCCAUAGUUGACCCUUCAUUUAUAUGUCCUUAUAUGGAGUGGUUUGUCUUAUUUCCGCCAGUUCCUGGAACAUCUUGCAAGCCAGUUCCUGGAACGUCUUGCAGUCAUCUUAUGUUUGCAUUAAGUGGUCUCUGGUUUAGUUGGUGUAAGCGAUUGCGGUUAUCUUGUCUCGCAUAAGCUGUGUCCGUUGGCUGUGUGCAUAAGCAAUUUCAUAUCUUCUGUUGCCUAACCUUUACAUUGGGCUUAACAUAUAUACUUAACAUAUAUCUUAAUAAACAAUACCCUAGUCUUUAGUUUUUCACAAUCCUAGCGACCACCGGGAAGAAGGAAAAGACCCCCUAACAACAGACUGGCGCAGAUGCAGAGUACACCAUGGAAGAUCACGUAUAUCGGAAGUAAAGGACUAUAAGAACCACAGUCUCAAGGAAGGGG
Molecule: long non-coding RNA, 2806 nt
Organism: Melopsittacus undulatus (budgerigar)
Lineage: Eukaryota; Metazoa; Chordata; Aves; Psittaciformes; Psittaculidae
Source: Ensembl